GGGGGGGGGGGGGGGGGGGGGGGGGGGGGGGGGGGGGGGGGGGGGGGGGGUGGGUGGGUGGGGGGCGGGGGGGGCGGGGGGGUGGGUAGGACGGGAGUAGGCGGCCCUUGGGUGUGGGAUGCCUUCGGGGCACGGGGGCUAGUACCGGAUGGGGGCUCCUGCUGCAUGGUGGGGGUUGGACGGUUUCGGCGGUUGGGGAUGGACUCGCGGCUUAUCAGCUUGGUGGUGGGGUAGUGGCUUAGCAAGGCUUUGCCGGGUAGCCGGCCUGAGAGGGUGCCCGGCCACAUUGGGACUGAGAUACGGCCCAGACUCCUACGGGAGGCAGCAGUGGGGAAUAUUGCACAAUGGGCGGAAGCCUGAUGCAGCAACGCCGCGUGCGGGAUGACGGCCUUCGGGUUGUAAACCGCUUUCGCCUGUGACGAAGCGUGAGUGACGGUAAUGGGUAAAGAAGCACCGGCUAACUACGUG
This 468-nucleotide ribosomal RNA is filed under the name uncultured bacterium. Its description in RNAcentral is "partial 16S ribosomal RNA". The stretch from base 58 to 468 matches the Rfam family "Bacterial small subunit ribosomal RNA", at positions 39 to 507 of the family's 1533-position model. The record is from RNAcentral.